This 253-nucleotide ribosomal RNA is filed under the name uncultured bacterium. RNAcentral describes it as "partial 16S ribosomal RNA". It matches the Rfam family "Bacterial small subunit ribosomal RNA", at positions 524 to 776 of the family's 1533-position model. The record is from RNAcentral.
UACGUAGGGGGCGAGCGUUGUCCGGAAUUACUGGGCGUAAAGCGCGCGCAGGCGGGUCAUCAAGUCAGGGGUGAAAGCCCAGAGCUCAACUCUGGAACUGCCCUUGAAACUGGUGACCUUGAGUACGGGAGAGGUGAGUGGAAUUCCCAGUGUAGAGGUGAAAUUCGUAGAUAUUCGGAAGAACACCAGUGGCGAAGGCGACUCGCUGGACAAGUAUUGACGCUGAGGUGCGAAAGCGUGGGGAGCAAACAGG